Molecule: ribosomal RNA, 465 nt
Filed under: uncultured bacterium
Lineage: Bacteria
Description: bacterial SSU rRNA
Rfam family: Bacterial small subunit ribosomal RNA
Source: RNAcentral
CCUACGGGAUGCAGCAGUGGGGAAUAUUGCACAAUGGGCGCAAGCCUGAUGCAGCCAUGCCGCGUGUAUGAAGAAGGCCUUCGGGUUGUAAAGCACUUUUAGCGGGGAGGAAGGCGGUGAGGUUAAUAACCUCACCGAUUGACGUUACCCGCAGAAGAAGCACCGGCUAACUCCGUGCCAGCAGCCGCGGUAAUACGGAGGGUGCAAGCGUUAAUCGGAAUUACUGGGCGUAAAGCGCACGCAGGCGGUCUGUCAAGUCGGAUGUGAAAUCCCCGGGCUCAACCUGGGAACUGCAUUCGAAACUGGCAGGCUAAAGUCUUGUAGAGGGGGGUAGAAUUCCAGGUGUAGCGGUGAAAUGCGUAGAGAUCUGGAGGAAUACCGGUGGCGAAGGCGGCCCCCUGGACAAAGACUGACGCUCAGGUGCGAAAGCGUGGGGAGCAAACAGGAUUAGAUACCCCAGUAGUC